AUACGGAGGGUGCAAGCGUUAUCCGGAAUCAUUGGGUUUAAAGGGUCCGCAGGCGGAUUAAUAAGUCGGUGGUGAAAUCCUCUCGCUCAACGAGAGAACUGCCAUUGAAACUGUUAGUCUUGAAUUCGAUCGAAGUAGGCGGAAUGUGUCAUGUAGCGGUGAAAUGCAUAGAUAUGACACAGAACACCGAUAGCGAAGGCAGCUUACUAGACCUGGAUUGACGCUCAUGGACGAAAGCGUGGGGAGCGAACAGAAUUAGAAACCCUAGUAGUCC
This 274-nucleotide ribosomal RNA is filed under the name uncultured bacterium. RNAcentral describes it as "partial 16S ribosomal RNA". It matches the Rfam family "Bacterial small subunit ribosomal RNA", at positions 523 to 796 of the family's 1533-position model. The record is from RNAcentral.